GGCCUCUCUCCCUUGGGGCUGUCGGGGGUCCAGUUUCUCCGCAGCCAAGGACAGAGGCCGAGAUGAACCCCAGAGGAUCACUGUCAGGACUGCCUCGAGCUGGGCAGCCUUGUUUUCCUGCCUCACACAUUC
Molecule: non-coding RNA, 132 nt
Organism: Microcebus murinus (gray mouse lemur)
Lineage: Eukaryota; Metazoa; Chordata; Mammalia; Primates; Cheirogaleidae
Source: Ensembl